UGGAGCGUGUGGUUUAAUUCGAUGCAACACGAAGAACCUUACCAAGGCUUGACAUGCUAGUGGUAGGAACCCGAAAGGGGGACGACCAGCCUCCGGGUUGGAGCUAGCACAGGUGCUACAUGGCUGUCGUCAGCUCGUGCCGUGAGGUGUUGGGUUAAGUCCCAUAACGAGCGCAACCCCUGUUCUGUGUUGAUUUCUCACAGGAAACUGCCCAGGAAUUCUGGGAGGAAGGCGGGGAUGACGUCAAGUCAGCAUGGCCUUUAUAUCUUGGGCA
This 274-nucleotide ribosomal RNA is filed under the name uncultured bacterium. Its description in RNAcentral is "partial 16S ribosomal RNA". It matches the Rfam family "Bacterial small subunit ribosomal RNA", at positions 933 to 1215 of the family's 1533-position model. The record is from RNAcentral.